GAGCCACAAUAUCUGCUUCCUCCCCAGUUCUUCACAAGCACCCAGAACUCACAAAAGACCUGCUGCUUCUACAACAUAUUGCAUGCCAUACUUGGUGGGGAUCCCAUGUGCAUCCUAAAAGUGACUGGACAUUUUGUGAGAGCCUGGCACAGAGACCCCUGCUGUGCAUGAGAAGGUGGGAGAGGGGCAUGUAAGACAAAACAAACCAUGUGAUGAGCCAGGAGCUGUUUGAAACUCAGCCAGAGUCAAACUAGUCCCAUGAGGUGAGCACAGAGAAACCUGGUGAUGAAGGGGAGGGGAGUUCGGAAAGAAGCUUCUGCUGAAAAGUUGCUGCAGUUCUGCUUUUUGUCCACCAGAGGGUGCUGUGGUGCUAGAACACAGCAGCCCGCUCCCAGCCAGCUAGGGAAGAGAAAGAGCCUGCAGAGCUUUCUUCAUAGCGCCUGUCUGGCCAGGGUUUAAACCUUCGAUUCUCCCUUUGGGGUGUCUGGACCCUGAUUGGCAAACUACUUACUGGAAAAAGGACAGGGCAUAUGUCAAAGUGAAGACUGACAUAAACACUUGAAUCCUUCUGCCAGGAAACCAGCAGCACAAAAAGUUUUUGGAAAUGUCCGUAGAAAAGCCUCUCAGGAACAAUGGAUCCUACUGAAUUUUUAUAAGAAUUCCUGCACUGACAAAUCAGCAUUUCCUGUUAUCUCUAUUUUUCUGCAUUUACAAGCAGCAGAUGAUUAUAGAGAUUUUUGAGAUUCAGGAAAUGGAUUAAAACGGUUCAUAAACCUAUAAAUCAUUGGAUGUCACCACACAAAGUUACCCUCAAUAAGCCUACUGAACACCAUCAUCAUCUUUCUCUAAAACAUGUAAAAGAAAAUCUAGCCCUGUAUUCACAAAGGCUGAGUAAUUUUUAAAUUGUGAAAGGUAGUGUCACAAACAACUUUUUUUGUUGCAGUUGCUUCUCAAUAGGAUAACAGGAGCUGUAUAUAUACAUACUAUGGAUACUCAGAUAGAAAGAAGAACAGGAGUACUUGUGGCUGCUUAGAGACUAGCAAAUUUAUUAGAGC
Chrysemys picta bellii (western painted turtle) is the source of this 1055-nucleotide non-coding RNA. Lineage: Eukaryota; Metazoa; Chordata; Testudines; Emydidae. The record is from RefSeq and is a predicted model, not a curated record.